GGGAGCAUAACGCAGCGGUGAGCGUACCUGCCUUACAAGCAGGGAGUCGUGAGUUCGAAUCUCUCUGCUCCCA
Molecule: transfer RNA, 73 nt
Filed under: Clostridiales bacterium
Lineage: Bacteria; Bacillati; Bacillota; Clostridia; Eubacteriales
Description: tRNA-Val
Rfam family: tRNA
About the family: Transfer RNA (tRNA) molecules are approximately 80 nucleotides in length. Their secondary structure includes four short double-helical elements and three loops (D, anti-codon, and T loops).
Source: RNAcentral